RNAcentral lists this long non-coding RNA (5839 nucleotides) under Hordeum vulgare. Its description in RNAcentral is "long non-coding RNA (HVUL_LNC014627)". Lineage: Eukaryota; Viridiplantae; Streptophyta; Magnoliopsida; Poales; Poaceae. The record is from RNAcentral.
UCUAAUUGGCUCCUCACACCUACCAAGUGUUAGGCCAUAUAACUCUUGUAUUAUACGUGACUUGUAUAACACGUAUAGGCGUGCGUGUAGGUUAGGAUCUCUCUCUAUCCCGUUGUGUUUAAACUGUAGCUAAGAGUAGAUUGACCUUAAACCACCUUUUGAUGUAUAUCUCUUGGGCUUAUGCCGCCUAUAUAAACAUGCACGCGUCCCUGCUAAGUGCAUGCGCUUCCAGCCUAUUCCACAUGGUAUAAGAGCCUACCUCUUCCCAUCGACAUGUCAUCUUCCUCCUCAAGCUCCACCAUGGUUGCUUCCCUCGCUGCGCUAGGCCACACCAUAACCGAAAAGCUAGCUAGGGAUAAUUUUUUGGUGUGAAAGGCACAUGUUCUUCCACAUGUGCGCGCUGCUGGUCUCAUGCGCUACCUUGAUGGCACCAUGGCCGAGCCGCCCGCCGUUUUAACCACCGAGACUGAUGUUGCAGGGAAGAAGGAGAUCUCUUCGACUCCAAAUCUGACCAUGUUCUCUGGUACACGCAGGAUCAGCAGGUCCUCACUUUUCUCCUUGCCUCCCUGUCCCGUGAUGUUCUCCUUCAGGUGCACUCCCUGGCUUCUGCAACCGGCGUCUGGACGGCGAUCCAGCAGAUGUUCGUGUCCCACUCCAGGGCGCGCCACAUCCAACUCCGGGGCAGCUCGGCAACACCAAGAAGGGGGACUCUCCUGUCGCCCUCUACUUCACCAAGAUGAAGGGAUUUGCGGAUGAGAUGGCGGCGGCGGGAAAACCCAUCGACGACGACGAGUUGGUUUCCUAUAUCCUGCAAGGAUUGGACUCUGACUACAACCCGUACGUUGCCGCCCUCUCAUCUCGUCCCGAGGCUGAUCAGAAGAUUGGCCUCACAGAGCUAUUUUCCCUGCUCAACACGGCGGAGGCACGCAUCGAUGCACAGAACGACAGCAACACCAACUCCUUCUCCAUCAACCUCGCCUCCAAGGGGGGCUCCCGCAACAACACCGAUGCCCGCUCCUCUGGUCACGUCGGUGGCAACUCUGGUGCCGCCUACCGUGGUGGCGGCGGUGGUUUCUUCCCCAACGUUGUUGCUCCCCCUCCUUCUGGUGGAAGGGAUGAGACGUGCCAGACACGUCAGGGCCAUGCUGCCUGGCGUUGUUUCAUGCGCUACGACAAGAACUUCAACCCUCCUCCCAAGCAUCAAGAUGGUGGUGGCGGAAACAACGGCGGCGGCGGUGGUGGCACCAAGUCCGCAAAUACCGUCUCUGUGGCCUACGGUGUUGAUAUCAACUGGUAUCUCGACACCGGUGCUAUGGACCAUGUAACCGGCGAGUUGGAGAAGCUUGUCGUGCAUGAUCGCUACACUGGACCGGAGCAAAUCCGCACCGCAAGUGGUCAAGGUAUGGAGAUUAAACAUGUUGGUCAUUCGUUGCUUCCUACUCCACAUAAACCUUUACACCUAAACAACAUCCUUCAUGUUCCCAAAUCCAAGAAUCUUCUCUCUGGUUCUCAACUCACGAAAGAUAAUGAUGCCUAUCUUGUUGUUUACCCUGAAUUCUUCUCUAUUCACGAUCAGGAAAUGGGGGGCACAAUUCUUCACGGUCCGAGUAAGAACGGGUUGUACCCUAUUGUUGCUGGCCAACCGGGUGCUCAUGGGCGUCAUAUCCUUGGAGCAAUCAAACCAUCUACGUCUAGCUGGCAUAGACGCCUAGGUCAUCCGUCCUUUCCGGUGGUGCAGCAGAUUCUUUGCAAUAAUAGUCUCCCAGUGUCAAAUAAAGUAGAUCAUCACCUUGUGUGUGAUGCUUGUCAAAUGGCUAAAAGCCAUCAAUUACCCUACUCUCGUUCAACUAGUGUUUCUCAAGCUCCUUUAGAGAUCAUUUAUUCUGAUGUUUGGGGCCCUGGGCCUCUUUCAGUUGGUAGACAAAAAUAUUAUGUUAGCUUCAUUGAUGAUUUCAGCAAAUUUAGUUGGAUUUAUCUUAUCAAACAAAAAUCAGAUGUCUUCCAAAAAUUCCAUGUUUUUCAAGCACUUGUUGAACGUUUGUUUGCCCGCAAAAUCAUUGCUAUGCAAACCGAUUGGGGGGUGAGUAUCAAAAGUUGAACCAAUUUUUUCAACGUCUUGGCAUUACACACCAUGUAUCAUGCCCUCAUGCUCACCAACAAAAUGGCUCUGCAGAACGUAAGCAUCGCCAUAUUGUAGAAGUUGGCCUUUCCCUUCUUGCUCAUGCCUCCAUGCCUCUAAAAUUUUGGGAUGAUGCCUUCUCUACGGCAUUCUACCUUAUCAAUCGUGUGCCUAGUCGUGUUAUUCACAAUCAAACCCCUUUGGAACGUCUUUUUGGUCUCACGCUAAACUACACCUUUCUUCGUAUAUUUGGUUGUGUUGUUUGGCCUAAUUUGCGCCCUUUCAAUAAACAUAAACUUGAGUACCGGUCAAAACAAUGUGUUUUCAUUGGCUACAGUGAUCUACAUAAAGGAUAUAAAUGCCUUGAUGUCUCAACCGGGCGGGUCUAUGUGUCUCGGGAUGUUAUUUUUGAUGAACAUAUCUUUCCCUUUGCAUCUUUACACCCCAAUGCCGGAGCUCAACUCCGUGCUGAGCUUGUGCUUCUUCCACCCACACUUCUAAAUUCAUCAAGCUCUCUUACACCUUCCGCAACACCGAAUGACCCCAUGGCAAUUUCCACUACUUAUGCACACACCUCUGCUAACAGUGUGCAGGAUUCGGCAGGUAUUUCUCAUGAUUUUAUGCAACCUAAUCCUCCUGCAGAUCUGGUGGCCACAAAAAAUCCAGGGCUGCAUGCCUCGGGAUCAGCAGCCGCAGCACCUCGGUCAGGAAAUCCUGUACUCCAGGCCUCGGGAUCGGCUGCCACAGCACCUGGAUCCCCUCCGGGUUUCGUGCGCCAACCCGGCACGCCUGCCGACCGGUACCCCGCAUCAACCUCGGACCCAGCGCGCCUGUCAGCAGUCGCGACAGCGGGGACAGCGUUGUCCCCCGCCUUGGCCCUGGUGCGGUCUCCCCCACGUGGAGCGCCUACAGCGGGUCCGUUCCAACCCCGCGCCUCGGAUCUGCCGCGGUCUCCCCCCUGCGGUGGGCCUGCCCUGUUCCCUGCCUCGGGCUCGGGCGCCUCUUCCAGACGUGGCGCACCGCUACAGGCCGACACGGUUGAUUCUUCUGUGGAGUCCGCUACCUCGCCUGCCGCGUCGACCGAGCACUCCCAGAUGGAUUCCCCUGCUAUUUCCUCUGGAUCGCUACCUGCCUCUGAUCUGCCAUUUGAUGCGGUAUCGUCUGAUUCUGCGCUAGCCCGUCGUGUUCAGCACAACAUGCAACCAACGCCACCAGCACCUCCACCUCCUCGGGCUCACACUCGGUCCCAAAGUGGUAUUCUUAAACCCAAAGUUCAUACCGAUGGUUGUAUUCGUUGGGGCUCUUUCUGUGCUACAGGUGAACCAGAAAAUCUCAAGGAGGCUAUUGUUGAUCCUAAGUGGAAAGCUGCUAUGGAUGAUGAAUUAGGUGCACUUUUCUCCAAUAACACAUGGCAUUUGGUACCACCGCGUCACAGACAGAAUAUCAUUGACUGCAAAUGGGUUUAUAAGGUAAAAUGACACUCUGAUGGUACCAUUGAUAGAUAUAAAGCUCGUCUAGUUGCAAAAGGGUUUAAGCAACGUUAUGGUAUUGAUUAUGAGGAUACGUUUAGCCCAGUUGUCAAAGCUGCAACCAUUCGUUUAAUCAUGUCUAUUGAUGUGUCUCGUAAUUGGCCUAUGCGACAACUCGAUGUUAAGAACGCGUUCCUACACGGUGUUCUGGAAGAGGAUGUUUUUAUGAGACAACCACCUGGGUAUAAAAGUUCACAGUCACCUACUUUUGUUUGCAAGCUUGACAAAGCACUCUAUGGCCUAAAACAAGCACCUCGGGCAUGGUAUUCUCGUUUGUCUUCCAAACUUCAGUCCCUUGGAUUUCAUCCUUCACAAGCAGAUACCUCCUUAUUUUUCUAUUCCAGACAUGGAGUCACAAUUUUCAUGCUUAUUUAUGUUGAUGAUAUCAUUGUUACUAGUUCCUCUGCUCAAGCGGUUGAUGCUCUCUUAAAAGAUCUUCGUAUGGACUUUGCCCUCAAAGAUCUCGGUGCACUUCACUACUUCCUCGGCAUUGAGGUAAACCCUACUCGAGAUGGUAUUGUUCUCUCACAAGGCAAGUAUUUGGUAGACCUCCUUACACGUGUAAACAUGAAAGGUUGCUAACCUGUUUCCACUCCUCUACCAACAGCAGAAAAAUUAUCUCUUUAUGAUGGUGAGCCUCUUUGUGAUGAAGACUCUACAAAAUACAGAAGCAUUGUUGGUGCCUUACAAUAUGUGACUUUAACCCAUCCUGACAUCUCUUUUUCGGUCAACAAAGUUUGCCAGUUCUUACAUGCUCCUACCACUGUUCAUUGGUCCUUGGUUAAACGCAUUAUCCGUAUCAGUAAGUCAGAUUCUAUGCUGGUUAGUGCCUUUUCAGAUGCAGAUUGGAUUGGUUGUCCUGAUGAUCGCCGCUCCAUAGGAGGUUUUGCAGUUUUUCUUGGUAGUAAUCUUACCUCUUGGAUUGCUCGCAAACAACCCACUGUCUCUCGUUCCAGUACAGAAGCUGAAUAUAAAGCACUGGCCAAUGCAACUGCUGAAGUCAUUUGGGUACAAACUCUGUUGACAGAACUUGGUGUGCCUCAUCCUCGAGCAGCAUCUCUUUGGUGUGAUAAUUUGGGUGCUACUUACUUGUCUGCCAAUCCUAUCUUUCAUGCUCGCACCAAGCACAUUGAGGUUGAUUAUCACUUUGUUCGCGAAAGGGGUGCCAACAAGUUGUUGAAUAUCAGGUUUAUUCCUACUGGUGAUCAAGUGGCGGAUCGGUUCACUAAACCAUUAACAGCUCGGCAACUGGAUGUUUUUCUUCGCAAUCUCAACUUAGGCAGUUGUGAUUGAGGGGGGAUGUUAGACGAUAUAACUCUUGUAUUAUACGUGACUUGUAUAACACGUAUAGGCGUGCGUGUAGGUUAGGAUCUCUCUCUAUCCCGUUGUGUUUAAACUGUAGAUAAGAGUAGAUUGAUAUUAAACCAUCUUUUGAUGUAUAUCUCUUCGGCUUAUGCCGCCUAUAUAAACAUGCACGCGUCCCUGCUAAGAGCAUACGCUUCCAGCCUUUUCCACACCAAGCGUACAUUGCUAGUACGGCUCCACUUAGACACAUCUGACUAUGUUUCUUUAGUAUGGGCUAAUACUCAAAAUUGGAAUUCAUGUUGAGCUACUCUUUUCGAAUUGAAGCAUUGGAAAUGUGUCCUAGGCGACCCAUGGUAAAUGCUUGCACUACUCAUGUUACUACAUACAUAGUGAUCCAUCACUAGUCUCAUAGUUUCGCUUCUGGCCUUCGUGUGAUCCAUCAUGAAACAUCUCUUGUAUAGCUGUCACUAUUAGGUUGGAUGCAGAAAAUACAGUAGCUAAAUGUGUAUACCAAUAUAUGAUGGCCAAUAGAGCUCAUUUGUGGUUGAUGCCUUCAUGGUGAGAUUCAGUAAUAGAAUCAUAUGACUAGGAGGCAUUUGGAGUACGAGUUCAACACAAAACGGAUGAGUUUGCAUGAUUUGGAACAAGUCACGUUGGAAUGUCGAAGAUAUUAGUGGUGCAAUCCUCAAAGUUUCACUGACAAACGCAUGCCAAUCUGGAGAUGUUGCUACGUAUCUUUGCACAGGAGUUGUGGACAGCGGCUUGUUGCUCGGCUAACCUUGUAGUAUGUUCUGAAAUUUGCCUAUUUUGAAGAUUGCCACUUCAGUAUUUAUAUACUUAUUCUGUACCUAAAAUUCUACUCCUAAAUGUUCAGUUGGUUGAAUAG